Molecule: ribosomal RNA, 274 nt
Filed under: uncultured bacterium
Lineage: Bacteria
Description: partial 16S ribosomal RNA
Rfam family: Bacterial small subunit ribosomal RNA
Source: RNAcentral
AUACGGAGGGUGCAAGCGUUAAUCGGAAUUACUGGGCGUAAAGCGCGCGUAGGCGGCUGAUUAAGUCGGAUGUGAAAUCCCUGGGCUCAACCUAGGAACUGCAUCCGAUACUGGUCGGCUAGAGUUUUGGAGAGGUAAGUGGAAUUUCCGGUGUAGCGGUGAAAUGCAUAGAGAUCGGAAGGAACACCAGUGGCGAAGGCGACUUACUGGCCAAAAACUGACGCUGAGGUGCGAAAGCGUGGGUAGCGAACAGGAUUAGAAACCCUAGUAGUCC